This 1060-nucleotide long non-coding RNA is filed under the name Homo sapiens (human). RNAcentral's name for it is "HSALNT0319740". The record is from RNAcentral. Lineage: Eukaryota; Metazoa; Chordata; Mammalia; Primates; Hominidae.
AACUCAAACAUAAUUAUUAGCUUUUACCAUAGAAAUUGCCUCUUCAUGAGUCAAAAGUAAUCAAAUACUGGCAAUUUCAUAUAGUUGAACCUAAUUUAAUUUAUGUUCAUUACAACUCUGAGGCAUGGAAUGAUUUUCCUGAUGUAUUCUGAUUUAUUCUCAUCUCUUCUUUCAUUCAUUCAACAGAUAUGUAUUAAGCAUUUACUACAUGCCCAGCACCAGCUAAGGAUACAGUAUAAAAAGCAUAGCCAAGGCUGCACAACUAUUCUAAUUGUAGUAGGAUAAAAGCUACAAAAGGACAGUGUGCAAUGCAAACUAGAGGAUGAACUGGCAAAUUUGUCCCAAGAAGGAUUGACCAGAGAGCCUCAUAUGCACAACAAGGAUAAUAAGACCAGGACACUAAGGAUUUACUGGCGAGGAUGAAUCUAUGGUUAUGAAGUACUUUCCAUGGUAUCCAACAUGUCCACCACGCCCAGGCAACUCUGUCAUACCAAAAUUUCUAAAGUUCCUGUGUCAUACUGCAUGGAACUCUCCUGCUCUUUCAGCCUUAGGUCAAAUGCAUGGCAAAGGAAUCCACUACGUAAGUAGAUAAAAGCUAGGUAUUUAAUUUUUAUAUAUAUUUUUAAAUUUUUACAUUAUAAAAUAAAUAUAUACUCAUAAAAAUUUUAAAAAAGAAAAAGAGAAAACCAUAAAGGAGAAUAUCCCACCACAGAAAGAUAAGCUUUGUUAGUAUACUUUGGUAUAUUCUCUUCGUUUUCUCUUUCCAAGUCCAUAUAUACAUUUUCUUAAAAGCAAAUUGGCAAUCAUGUGCCCAGAGUUUAUUCUCUUCCUUUAAAUUGUUAAUGUUAUGGUGCAUGUUAAUUACUGCCUCAUUAGUCUUUGAAAACAUGAUUUUUCAAUAACUCCACCCUAUUUCUGGAUACUAUGGUUCUAUCAAAUUUUUCCCAUUGCAAAUAAUACCUCAGUGAACAACUCCUGCCACUUUUACAAACCCAUAGACCAUUAUAAACAUAUAGUGUUUAUUAUAAACACCAUUAUAUACACUCAGUGAAAUAAUUAU